UAUAUAUUAAUGUUUUAUAAGCAUAAUUUUUUUUGAAUAAAUUAGAAAUAGUGAAAUUCUAUUAUAUAUAU
Molecule: transfer RNA, 71 nt
Filed under: Homolobus sp. QL-2013
Lineage: Eukaryota; Metazoa; Arthropoda; Insecta; Hymenoptera; Braconidae
Description: tRNA-Gln
Source: RNAcentral